GUGGGGAAUUUUGGACAAUGGGGGAAACCCUGAUCCAGCCAUGCCGCGUGGGUGAAGAAGGCCUUCGGGUUGUAAAGCCCUUUCGGCCGGGACGAAAUCGCACGGGUGAAUAUCCCGUGCGGAUGACGGUACCGGAAGAAGAAGCACCGGCUAACUACGUGCCAGCAGCCGCGGUAAUACGUAGGGUGCGAGCGUUAAUCGGAAUUACUGGGCGUAAAGCGUGCGCAGGCGGCCUCUUAAGCCAGAUGUGAAAUCCCCGGGCUUAACCUGGGAACUGCGUUUGGAACUGGGAGGCUAGAGUGUGGCAGAGGGGGGUGGAAUUCCCGGUGUAGCAGUGAAAUGCGUAGAUAUCGGGAGGAACACCAAUGGCGAAGGCAGCCCCCUGGGCUAACACUGACGCUCAUGCACGAAAGCGUGGGGAGCAAACAGGAUUAGAUACCCCUGUAGUCC
Molecule: ribosomal RNA, 450 nt
Filed under: uncultured bacterium
Lineage: Bacteria
Description: bacterial SSU rRNA
Rfam family: Bacterial small subunit ribosomal RNA
Source: RNAcentral